This is a long non-coding RNA of Rhododendron vialii, 453 nucleotides long. RefSeq lists it as uncharacterized. NCBI's taxonomy places the organism in Eukaryota, Viridiplantae, Streptophyta, Magnoliopsida, Ericales, Ericaceae. The transcript is spliced from 2 exons. The record is from RefSeq and is a predicted model, not a curated record.
CUUUAAUGGAUAUAUAGUGAUCGUGCUCUGCGUUUAAUGUUAGUUAGUGGAUCUCUGGUUUUUACGGAUCGUGCAAAAUGCGAAGAAAUUAUUCGUCCUGCUUGGAGAGAGAGAGAGAGUCUAUGUGUACGGUGGAUCUCUGGAUCGUGCAUUAUGGGAGGAAAUUCUUCGACCUGCUUAGAGAGAGAGAGAGAGAGAGAGAGAGAGAGAGAGAGUUUAGUGGAUCUGUGUAUGUGCUCAAUGCCGAUCCUGCAUUUUAUGAAGAAGAAUUUUUGCAUUUCUAGUUACUCUACAGUUAGUUUCGAGGAUACUGAGGCAGUGAUUUGAGUUUAUUGUGGUGAUUUGGUGUCGAUUUGUAUUUCUUGAGCUGAUAUUUGCUUCACUUUCUGUAACUUGCAUUUCUAGUUACUUGACUGUUAAUUCGAGGAAAUUCGACUCCAGUAUUUGCAUUUC